AUGCUGAGAAUGCUCAGUCGUAUUUCAGUGAAGGGCAUAUUCAGGCUUCAAGUGAUCUUCAUAGCUAUAUAGAGGUAUCCUCUGCUCAUGUAGACAAUACCACUUUGUAUUUAUCGUUUUUAUUUUUCAUGUCUCCCUGAUAUUUUAUUUGAUUCUAGCUACAGAACAAACUGGAAGGUGAAAGGGUUACUGGAGAGAACCUAUUUUUUUCGUAAGUGUACUACUGCCCUUGUAUGGGAAAUCAUGCAUAUUUAGUUCUUUAUUGCUGUUACAUAGAUAUCAUUUGAAAUUUGUUGAAGCUCAUAUUGUUGGUGCUUGUGAUUGCGUUUAGAAUGAGUUUUUGUUCCUUUGGUAAGAAACUGUGAUUGCGUUGUUCAGGAAGUAAAAAGUAUUAAUAUUAUUAUUUAUCACAUGCGACAUUAUUGAACUACAAUAGAUCCUAAAGAAAGCAGGAUACGCAGAAGCUCAUAAACAUCCAUUCCAAAAAAUUUAAAUAUUGAUUAUAUUAAAUUAAUUUCAGUAAUUGAAUUAAAAUCUAAUAGAACUACAUUUUGUUCUUAAAAAAGUAAUUAAUUUUGUCUAAAUAUUACUUUUGAAAUAAAAAAUAUUCCAAUCUAGCCGCAUUCCAUAUCCAAUCGUUAGUAGAUGAUAUUCUUCAUUCCUGCAAGAUUAAAUAAUUUUUUUUUUAAAUUAGUAUAUUAUAUAAGUAUGAAAUAAAUGAUUAGGAUAAAUUUUAGUAAAUCAAUAAAAUUACCUCUGGUUCUUUUUUUAUUGUCUUUUGCCUUUUGUUGUAUGUGUUGUCGUUAAGUGAGUCAAUGUCAACAAUUUCUCUCCGUGCUGUUUUUUUGGUUGAUGGUGUUCAAACCUUUUCUGUUUUCUUGUAUUUUGCAGCAAAUUUCAUUACUUCCGGGAUUUCUUCAACCUUAAUGACCGACAUUGAAGAGGUAUCUUUUGUUUUCAAGUUGUACUCUUUGAUUUUGAUAUGAAAAGUUGUUGUCUUUCCAAUUAAUUGAUCAAAUAAACUAUUAAUCUUUUUAUCUCCAUUUUCCUGUUAAUCGAAAAAAAGAUAUUUAAUAUUGCAAGAAGUAAUUGAAAAAAGAUAUAUUAUAAGUAGGAUAAUUUUUUAAAAAAGUAACUUACUUGUUGACUUAUAUCAAGCAUCUCAUAGACCGAGAGGUUGAAAAUAUUCUUUAUCACUUCAUCAAAACCAGUAAUCAUCAUUAUAGAGUUCCCAUCUUCAAUAUCCAUACUAAGCUUAUACCUAUAAUCAUAGUGGUAUUAGUACAUUAAAGAAAAUAUGAAUACUAAUGAGUUUAUAUCUUUGUUCGGAAAACUACUUACAAUUCCAUUGUUUCUGCCACCACUUUUUUACAUUUUUUGCAGUAAUAUUCUUCUUCAUCUGUUAUUUUUAAUUUUCCGCGACAUUUUUUGCAUGCCAAAUAAUGCCAUUCCGUCUUGUUGAAUACUUUAUUAAUUUUUGCCGAGCAUUUGAAAACAUCCUUCUAUAGAAAAACAAUAAAAAGUAGUUAUAUUAAAUGUGAAUGAAGAGUUGUAUUAAGUUAACCUUCAAUAGUUCGGUAAGAAUUGUACAAACCUCAAGCUUUUCACCUUCGUCAACCAUGUCAAAUAUUUGUGAUAUUGUUCGGAUGUUGUCAUUGUUGGUAGUAGCUAUACUUUCCAUUCUGAGCAUGAAAUCUUUUAUUUCUGGUAUUUCUUGGUCUAAGAGUAUUCUUGUAGCAUAUGUUGAUUGUACAUGGCAUCCUACACACAGUUGGUUUUUGUUAUUUUUUUUUUUUUAAAGUAAUAUUCACUUUCAAAAAUUAUGUAAUUCAUAGUGUAUGUUACCAUUAAAUUUAUUCCCUGUUGUAGAAGUAAUGAUGAUUACUAUUUUUUCUCCCCUUUCUGUUGCUUCGAUUGCUUCAUUAAUAUCAUCGCCUAGUUUUCCCCAUAGCUUCACUUUUAGUAUUUCAUUGCUGCAUAAAAAUUAUAAUUAAUAUAUUUUCAGAAGUAUAGUAAAUUGACAUAUCCAAAAUAUAUAUAUAUAUAUAUUUUGGAUAUGUCAAUUUAUGAGAACAUACCUGUCAUCUCUAAUUGUGAUUUCUCUUAUUUUUGUUUGCUUUUCUCUUGCAACUAUUGGUAGUGCAUCUUCCCAGUAAUCAAGUCGACCAAUGACAUCUACAAUAAAUAUAUUUAGUUUAUAUGAAUAUAUGACAUAAUGGUUUAUCCAAAUUAUUUGAAAAGAAUAUUUCUUACCAAUGUAUAUUUCUUUGUUUUGUUCUUCACAGUAGAAAGGAACAUCCGAAAAUUCUGUAAACUCGAAGUUGAACCUUGGAAUCUUAUUGUUUCCGUUCUCUACUAUUUCCAGGUUAGUAUAUUGUUGGAUGUAUAUGAUCCUUUUUUGAUUUGUCACUUGAGGGCCUCUUGCAAUUACCCAAGUCUUGAACCUGUUCAUUGUUAUUAUCUUGUCUGGAGUAAUCUUUUCUUCGAAAUCUUCAAUGUCUCCAGAAUUAACCUUUGCAUGGAUUUUAUCACCCUAUGUUUAUAAAAUACAAUAUAAGUGCGAUAUCGUAUUUAUGAUUCAUAAAAAGGAAUAUAAAAUAUUAUUUUAUGUUUACUUACAUGUUCAUCAAUGAGUAUCAUGUCGAGGUUUGUUGUCUUUUUUGUCUUUUCAUUAACUUGUUUCCACACCCACAUUAUUCUAGCAGUAAUCCUCCAGUUGAAAUUCUGCCCUUUGAUUUCACGUAGCCGAAUAUCUAUUAGCCUAUCCAUAGUCUCCUGCAUUGUAGGAUAAAUAUGUUUUGAUAAAUAUGUUUUGAUAAGUAUGAUAUUGUAUUUUUUCUUUAGAUUACAUAUUUCAGGGGUAUGGCUUUGCUUUGUCCAUUGGCUGGUAUAAAAUUUAAUAGAUAUUUGAAGAGAUAAAUUUCAGUGAACAAUACAUACAAUAUAGAAGUGUAAAUUAGCGAAAAAAAUUACUUUUUUUGUCAGUAUAGCAGACUGCCAGAAAACGGUUUUUAUCAGUAUAAAAUAAGUCUGUAUAAAUUUUAAAGUUUUUGGAUUUGAAUGCUUUAUAUUUUCCAAAUAAACAGGUAUGUGUUACUAUGUAAUCUGGAUGACCAGUAAAUUUGCAGACGUGGUAUUCAGAUUAAAACAGUGAGCAGUAAAUUAGUAGAUUUGUGGAAAAGUGUUGAAUCUAGACAUGUGAUAACGUAAGUAUAACAACAAAAGGUAAUUGAAGCUAUAUAAUUGAAACUAUAAAUUGAACAUCAAGACCAUGUACCUGUGUAAAAGUUGAACUUUUGCUGUGUAUUUGCUGAGUACUUGAUUAAUUCCUUGAGAGAGUUUUGUAGAGUUGUAAGGAUGGAAUUUGUGGAAGAGAUAUACCCUUUAUAUAGAGAUUUGUAAAUAAGUGUUUACUUGUUUUUAGAAAUCGAUGUAAAUUGGAAAUUGAAAGCAAAUAGAAUUCUAUUUCAAUGAGUUCAUCAAGGAGUACCAUGUCUAGGAAUUAUAAACCAAAUAGGAUUCUAUUUCAAUUUGUAUUCUGUAGGUUAUUGAAAAAGAAGUAUUUAUUGGAUCGGGCUUCUAUUAUUUUUUAUUUUAUUUUGUUUCCUAUGGACUUGGAUCUACUUUGUUUAGUUGAUCCAUAAAUAUGGGAGUGUCAUUGAUUAUUGCUUUUGAAGGGAUGGACACCUGAGUUGUUUCUCAACUUGGCUUGAUGACAUGAUUUUUGAUGUGUGUACUGAAGUUUUCGUUGUAGUUUUGUAAUUUAAUGUUUUUUUAUAAUUUAAUAUUGAUACAGAUGUAAUAUCAAUGGGAAUUGGAAUCCGAGAAAGCUUGUUAUGAGAAGGAUAUCAUCGUUGUCAAGGCUGAAAUGGAGAAAGCUAAGAAGGACAACUAUACUAUCAUUGAUGAUUUGCGCAACCUCUUUGCUGAUGAGAAGAAAGAGCAAUCGGAGCAACUGCUUAAGGAGUUCGAUGUUGAGAAGGAAACUGCUCUGGACAAGCUUGAUUGAGAAAUGAGCACUCAGUAUAUUAAACACACUAUCAAAUCUGAAGGCGACUAUUAUGAUAUGUGAGAAUAAAAAGCAUAUGUUCGCAGUGUUGCUGUGCUAAGUGCUUAAUUUUGUUCUUGCAGUGAGUCUGAGAGAAAACUGCUUGUUUUCAUUUUCUACUUGUGAUCAUGUGUGUUCAAAUGCUUCGACAGUGUAAUAAAACAGUCGCU
RNAcentral lists this long non-coding RNA (4218 nucleotides) under Aquilegia coerulea. Its description in RNAcentral is "long non-coding RNA (ACOE_LNC000523)". Lineage: Eukaryota; Viridiplantae; Streptophyta; Magnoliopsida; Ranunculales; Ranunculaceae. The record is from RNAcentral.